GACAAAGGGGUGAGGGAGAAGGAGAUCCGGAUUGUCAAGCAAGUCUCUCCUGUUCGGCCACUGGCGUGAGCAAGUUCUUGGGGGUGGCGGCCAAAGACCUACAAGGGCAACAAGUAUGAAACUGUCAACGGCAGAGCAAUAGUGCAGAGAGUUCAGAUGUCUGAUGCGAGCCUGAACUGGGUAGCAGCGGCUGAUGAGAAAAUCUAACACAGAUGGCACCCGGAAAGCAAGAAAAGAAACUAUGAUGAUUGCCAGGGCUGCUGGGAUCUUCUGCAGACCCCACCACCAGGACCUGCAGUUACUUCACCAUGUGAUAGAUGUUGAUGCCUGCAGGAUUCUGCUGACUUCCUAGUCAUCUCCAGACAUUUCAGUCAUGAAACUUCCCCAGAACUACAUGGAGUGCAGUCAGG
Molecule: long non-coding RNA, 410 nt
Filed under: Fukomys damarensis (Damara mole-rat)
Lineage: Eukaryota; Metazoa; Chordata; Mammalia; Rodentia; Bathyergidae
Description: lncRNA (ENSFDAG00000023386.1)
Source: RNAcentral